Molecule: ribosomal RNA, 368 nt
Filed under: uncultured organism
Description: bacterial SSU rRNA
Rfam family: Bacterial small subunit ribosomal RNA
Source: RNAcentral
CGGAGGGUGCAAGCGUUAUCCGGAUUCACUGGGUUUAAAGGGUGCGUAGGUGGGCAGGUAAGUCAGUGGUGAAAUCCUGUAGCUUAACUACAGAACUGCCAUUGAUACUAUCUGUCUUGAAUACCCUGGAGGUGAGCGGAAUAUGUCAUGUAGCGGUGAAAUGCUUAGAUAUGACAUAGAACACCCAUUGCGAAGGCAGCUCACUACGGGAAUAUUGACGCUGAGGCACGAAAGCGUGGGGAUCAAACAGGAUUAGAUACCCUGGUAGUCCACGCCCUAAACGAUGAUCACUCGACAUCAGCGAUAAACUGUUGGUGUCUGAGCGAAAGCAUUAAGUGAUCCACCUGGGAAGUACGAUCGCAAGAUUG